Non-coding RNA from Rattus norvegicus (Norway rat), 1498 nucleotides. The record is from RefSeq and is a predicted model, not a curated record. Lineage: Eukaryota; Metazoa; Chordata; Mammalia; Rodentia; Muridae.
UUAAACAGGCGUCUACAGAGUUAGGGGCUUUUUGAGAGCCGAGCCACACCAGUGGAGCCUGCUGGAGGGCAGCUUUUACAUGCAGCCUUUGCAGGAAACGGGCAUGUCGCGCCAACAUGCAGAGGCAGUUAAACAUUAUGUGAGGACAUUUAAGGGAGCACCUCCUUGCACCCUCCCCCCACGCUGCAGAGUCAGGCUCCUGAGAACGCACAGUGGGGGAUCAUGCGAAGCACCGGGCUACUGGCUUGGCUUGCAAAAGCACAUUCAAAGGAAUUCUUUUCACAUUUGUGGAGAAACUAUCAAACGGAUGGCUUGUGCGGAUAGCUGGGUUGCACAAAUCCACCAGAACUUCGACAUUGGGCUCCUAGGACUUCCUGUCAAAUGAGCAAAAACUUGGAGAGGACUGUGUCACAGCUUGAGGGACGCAGCACCAAAACCUUGCUUAAAAGUAGAGUAGGUCUAUCUCGGCCUUCAAUAAGACAUUUAGUUCCUGCAGAGAUGUGCUCCUGGAGCCUGGUGCUCCUGAGGGGUGCAGGGGGUCACUGCAGAAGGCCCUCAAUCCUGGCCACCCCUUUUCGGGCUUGGGAGGAGAGGAGGCCAGCCACAUGUCGUGGCUCUUCUUCAUCCCGCCUCGUAGCCGCGAGUGACCCUGCUCUGAACCACCAAGACUCGGAUGUUCCUCCUAGCGAGUGUGUGUCCCGCGGAAGCAAAGUGCUGUCUGCCUGCAUGGCCCGCCUUCCCCCUGGCGCCCCACCAACAGAAAGCGCAUGUCUGCGUUUUAUAUUCCUGUAAACUCCAGCCUGGCCCCAGGCCAGAGACCUCUUUGUAAUGUCAAAGAUAAAAGCUUCGGCACCCUGCCCCCACCUCCAUUUCCUUGUAACCGGCUUAUAAACUGAGCAUGCAUGACUGUUAGCAGAGCUUUGCAGACAGAGGUCUGAUGGCGCUCCAGAAACGUCCCCAGAGGGUGAGCGGAGGAAUCCCCAUGGCACCAGGAAGAGAGAGGCUGGAGAGGGGCGAGUGAUCUCCCACAGGACCUGCUGGGAACUGUGGGAGAUCUGAAGUAUGGACUCAAAUGCAUCCUCAGAACAUUCUAGCCCCCAAAGAAUGUGCCCACUGAGCCAGGGUCCUGGGUAUCUUUCCCUAGAACCUGGCAUGCUGACAGCAUCGAAUCUUUUUGGCUCCAAACAGUAUGGAUAUAAAUUAUGUUGCUGUAAUAGAAGGUCCUUAUCAAACUUUGGAUGUCCUAAAAUGGCAUUUGGGGUACACAAGAUGCUGUGGUUUUCUUCUCAUCCCAGCAUGCCCUGUGCCAUGGGUGCUGUGACGUCACCUAAGGAAACUUGUAAGAUCUUACUUUUUGGAUUUUUUUUUUAAAAUUUCUUUUUGGGUCAUACUUGUAGUGUGUCUAAAUUAUAUGGCCCCAGACAUUACAGUUUUAUUAUCCAUUUAGCAUUCUGGAUGACUUUGAAAGUAAAAACUUGAUGUUAUUAAAUGUUCAUAA